UGCGUUCAGCAUUAUUGCUCGACUUGCCCACCCUAGAGGCAUAUUCAAGAACUAAUUUUUAUUGUGUUCGGCAUUGCUUGACUUUUAUAGAAGAACUUUUUCAUGCUUUUGGCAGUUCAUAUGCAUAUGUUACUAAAACACUUUUUGACAGGUUAGCACCGAGUUAGAAUGUGUACACUUAAAUGGAUGAGUGAGUUUGCAUCUGAGUCUAGAAUGACCCAUCCAUAAUUCAAAUUGAAUGUGGCUCUAAGAUCUGAACAAAAACAAGGCUAAUUCAUUGGUCUGGAU
RNAcentral lists this long non-coding RNA (288 nucleotides) under Elaeis guineensis (African oil palm). Its description in RNAcentral is "long non-coding RNA (EGUI_LNC075007)". The record is from RNAcentral. Lineage: Eukaryota; Viridiplantae; Streptophyta; Magnoliopsida; Arecales; Arecaceae.